UCUAGCGGUUUGUGAACUACGUAUGGCAUUUGUAAGAGCGGAAAACGAUGAUUUACUGCCAGCUUUCGUGGCGUCUGCUAUACCUAUUUUCCGUAUUCAAUGGCAAGAAAGUGAAAAUUUUAAAUAUUAUGCCCCGUAUUUUAUUAGCCCAUCAGAAAGGGAAUUUGCCGCGAAAUGCCGGAAACCGAUGCCAUAAACUCAAGGAAACCGGUAUUGCAACUGAUAAAGAAAUGUAGCUCAUUUUAAGCACAGCAUAGUGGCAUUUGAAAAAUUAAAAAGUAUGCAAACAGAAAUAGGAUACCCUGAGCUAAAAGUGAAACAAGAUGUCUACUAGAUGGAAUUCUUCUUUAAUUAUAACAGAAAAACUUUUAGCGAUAAAAACCCACUAUCAGCUGCUAUAACAUCGUUACCAUGAGCUCCAGAAUUCAUUACAGCAACAAUGGGAUAUGUUGACAGACUUAGUCUCCAUCUUGAAACCAUUUGGAAAGAUGAAUAUUGAAUUGUCAGGUGGGAAAUAUGCAACCAUUUCGCUAUAAGAAACAACCAGUAGAACGUUUAAAACUUGCUUUACAAAUUAAUGUUAGAAGACGACUUGGUAUUUUAGAAUCAAAUCUUUGUUCAAAAGCAAAGGUUUUCGAUUCCAGAUUUAAAAAAGCUGCAUUUGGUGAUGAGGAAAAUACAGACACAGUGCAAAAAUUAAUUAUUACUGAAAUGUCGUCUAUUUUGCAAAAUAAAAGUGAGACAGUUGAAAUUGUAACUAACAAUAUCGAUGAUGAAAAAAAACAUUGGUACCAUUUUGAUCGAGUUGUCACUUUGAAAAACGGUUCAACAACAAGCACGAACGCAACUUUGAUUGUAAGAGAAUAUUUAGAGAUGUCUCUUAUAACACAAACUCAGAAUCUAAUUAAAUUUUCGAUGCGCCACACAAAUAUAUACGGCCAAAUUAUGAAUGAACAUUGAAACAGACUUUCUGAAAUCUAUUUUAAGUAAUAUAUUUAUAAUAUUGUUUAGUAUGUUAUAUUAAUACUGUCAGACGACUCUUGUUAAAUGACUCAAUGAAUAGCUUACUUUCGA
Non-coding RNA from Onthophagus taurus, 1074 nucleotides. Lineage: Eukaryota; Metazoa; Arthropoda; Insecta; Coleoptera; Scarabaeidae. The record is from RefSeq and is a predicted model, not a curated record.